GAGGGUGUAGCUCAGUGGUAGAGCACAUGCUUAGCAUGCACGAGGUCCUGGGUUCAAUCCCCAGGACCUCCA
This 72-nucleotide transfer RNA is filed under the name Vicugna pacos (alpaca). It matches the Rfam family "tRNA". From Rfam's summary of the family: Transfer RNA (tRNA) molecules are approximately 80 nucleotides in length. Their secondary structure includes four short double-helical elements and three loops (D, anti-codon, and T loops). The record is from Rfam by way of RNAcentral. Lineage: Eukaryota; Metazoa; Chordata; Mammalia; Artiodactyla; Camelidae. RNAcentral also lists the same sequence under 1 other name.